AGAGUUUGAUCAUGGCUCAGAACGAACGCUGGCGGCGUGGAUAAGACAUGCAAGUCGAACGCUGAUUUCAGGGUAGCAAUAUUCUGAGGUCGGAGUGGCGCAAGGGUGCGUAACACGUGGGUAAUUUGCCGUGAAGUUGGGGAUAACUCGCUGAAAGGCGAGCUAAUACCGGAUGUGAAAAUUGGAAGGCAUCUUCUGAUUCUUAAAGUUGGGGACCGCAAGGCCUGACGCUUCACGAUAAGCCCGCGGCCUAUCAGCUAGUUGGUGAGGUAACGGCUCACCAAGGCUAAGACGGGUAGCUGGUCUGAGAGGACGACCAGUCACACUGGAACUGAGACACGGUCCAGACACCUACGGGUGGCAGCAGUCGAGAAUUUUUCUCAAUGGGCGAAAGCCUGAAGGAGCGACGCCGCGUGGGGGAUGAAGGGCUUCGGCUCGUAAACCCCUGUCAUUCGCGAACAAACCUUAUGGUAUAACACAUCAUGAGCUGAUUGUAGCGGAAGAGGAAGGGACGGCUAACUCUGUGCCAGCAGCCGCGGUAAUACAGAGGUCCCAAGCGUUGUUCGGAUUCACUGGGCGUAAAGGGUGCGUAGGUGGCAGGGUAAGUUUGAUGUGAAAUCUCCGGGCUUAACCCGGAAACUGCAUUGAAUACUAUCCUGCUCGAGGAUUGGAGGGGGGACUGGAAUACUUGGUGUAGCAGUGAAAUGCGUAGAUAUCAAGUGGAACACCAGUGGCGAAGGCGAGUCCCUGGACAACUCCUGACACUGAGGCACGAAAGCUAGGGGAGCAAACAGGAUUAGAUACCCUGGUAGUCCUAGCCGUAAACGGUGCAUAUUUGCUGUAAAAGGAAUCGACCCCUUUUGUGGCGUAGCCAACGCGUUAAAUAUGCCGCCUGGGAAGUACGGUCGCAAGAUUAAAACUCAAAGAAAUUG
RNAcentral lists this ribosomal RNA (932 nucleotides) under uncultured bacterium. RNAcentral's name for it is "bacterial SSU rRNA". It matches the Rfam family "Bacterial small subunit ribosomal RNA", at positions 8 to 912 of the family's 1533-position model. The record is from RNAcentral.